RNAcentral lists this ribosomal RNA (376 nucleotides) under uncultured bacterium. Its description in RNAcentral is "bacterial SSU rRNA". It matches the Rfam family "Bacterial small subunit ribosomal RNA", at positions 30 to 406 of the family's 1533-position model. The record is from RNAcentral.
AUUGAACGCUGGCGGCAUGCCUUACACAUGCAAGUCGAACGGUAACGCGGGGGCAACCCUGGCGACGAGUGGCGAACGGGUGAGUAACACAUCGGAACGUACCCAGUAGUGGGGGAUAGCUCGGCGAAAGCCGGAUUAAUACCGCAUACGACCUAUGGGUGAAAGCGGGGGAUCGCAAGACCUCGCGCUAUUGGAGCGGCCGAUGUCGGAUUAGCUAGUUGGUGAGGUAAAGGCUCACCAAGGCUACGAUCCGUAGCUGGUCUGAGAGGACGACCAGCCACACUGGGACUGAGACACGGCCCAGACUCCUACGGGAGGCAGCAGUGGGGAAUUUUGGACAAUGGGCGCAAGCCUGAUCCAGCCAUGCCGCGUGUGU